This is a non-coding RNA of Mycena leptocephala, 90 nucleotides long. Lineage: Eukaryota; Fungi; Basidiomycota; Agaricomycetes; Agaricales; Mycenaceae. The record is from the annotation of a GenBank genome assembly.
GGCCUCGUGGUGUAUUGGUAACAUGUCUUCCAAUAUUUCCGAAGUAAUACUCUUCAGAGGAAGUCCCUUGUUCGAAUCAAGGCGAGGCCA